Molecule: non-coding RNA, 966 nt
Organism: Nomia melanderi (Alkali bee)
Lineage: Eukaryota; Metazoa; Arthropoda; Insecta; Hymenoptera; Halictidae
Source: RefSeq, a predicted model, not a curated record
AGUAUCACGAGUCUCACACGUUGUUGUAGGACAAGGAAUUAACUCUCGAAAAACGAAAGUCAUUCUAUUGUCAAAAGUCUGAUAAUCAUUAAACAAUUGCAACUUACACAAGCACAAUCGGUCGUUUCUCUGAUACAAGCGUUAAAUGAAAAUCAACGGAGGAUAUUGUUUCAACAUUUUAUGCUCAACACGUAUAUCUUUUUUUAUUUUGAUAUCUGUAAAAAUAUAGAUACGGAGAUGGAAACAAGUGUUCUAUUAUUUGUUUGUCGAAAGACAACUGUUUGGUUUCGAGAUCGUAGGGGGUUUUGUUAUACACAGUGUAAGUCGUGUACAUUGUUCUUGAGGAACGCUCCGUGACAAUAAGCGAAUCCCCUUGGGGGACGAGGGUGGAAAUAAUACUUUCCUUGUUAUUAAUUCGGAUAAUUUUAUAUAAGUAUGUAGAUAUGAAACGAGACAGUGUGGGAAAUUUGAUGAAAUUUAACCAGUACUUUCAACGCAUUUGCGGUCACUGCUGUGAAUUCACGUUUUUUAAAAUAUAAUAACUUUUAAAUAUUUUAAUUUUCUGCUAUUUUCCAUUCGCGACUUCUUUAACAGAAAGUUCUUGAGCUGCGCUUGAAGUUCCCAUCUUAGCUGCUGCAAGCCUCGCCACAGUUGACAGUGCCUAAGAAUAGAAGAAAAGUAUGUACAUAAAAUGAAUAAAUAACAUAAAAGCGACAGAUGUAUAAAUAACUGAAGACUAAAUUGAAUAAGUAAAAAACCUUCUCAAUCUCUUCUGGAGUUGCAUAACUGAAAGAGAGUCGAAUAUGUUGGUCAGGUUUCGAAAAAUCACAAUUAAAAGCGUGCCCAGGAAUAAGAAAUAUUCCAUGGGAAACACACUUCUUCUCCACUAACUCCAUUACAUCAUUAAUGCCAGAAAAUUAAUGGACACGAAAUAAAACGAUGUAACUACAAACGAAUAGAAACGAC